UCCCUAUGGCUACAGUUAAGUUAAGUCACUGACAUGCGGACCCUACCACAAAAGCAGCCCUUCUAGAAUUCUCUGGAGUCUCCAAUGCAUUCACUGCUCGCACGCGUUCGCCGCCCCCUCCUCUUCUCUCCGCUGUGCUGAAUUCCAUGCCCUAUCUCCUGCAAGCCUUUGAUCCGAUCUCCGACAUUCUCUGGGUCACUCCAGAUGUACCGAGACCUGCCUCUCCCUUCUGCUCCCUCGCCUCUGGUAACCCGUUGGUAUAUAUUGACAAUGUACGAAGAUGGUUGAGGCUAAAUUCAUGAAGUUACUAGACCACUCAAAGAUUCUUUUAUGGAAAAAGUGGCUUUAUUGUAUUGUUGAUGAUUUUGUGACAAAGCAACUUCCUCACAAUGUGACAUCGAGUCCGAGUCUGUUAUAUGCUCUGGAGCACAAGGGAGACAGAGCUUUGACUUCAAGUCAAGGAGAGCUGGCACAUGCUUUGCGGUUCUUGGCUGCAGUGGUGUCACAGAGCUUCAUAGCCUUCGGUGACAUUCUUGAGCAACAUAAGAAAUUCCUUGGACUCUCUGGUGGGAUUAACCAGAUCUUCGAGCUUGAGGAUUUUCUACAUGCUGCUUAAAGGACUUCGGAAGAAAUUUAAUCAUUUUAAUGAAGUGGACAUUAUAAUACCAUCACAGAAGCUGUUGGCCAGCAAUUUUUCAUGCAAUUUGGUGCCAGGGAAAAGCCUUCUGCUGACUGGUACACCUCUUCCUACAAGUGACCUUUAUUUGUAUUCUGCUCAGCAGCGAACUUGUAGUGACAUGUUUCAUGUACCUUGACUUACCAAGCCCUCAGAAGGAAUGUUUCAUGUUCCUCAGCAUUCGUAC
This is a long non-coding RNA of Panicum virgatum (switchgrass), 863 nucleotides long. RefSeq lists it as uncharacterized. The transcript has 4 exons. Lineage: Eukaryota; Viridiplantae; Streptophyta; Magnoliopsida; Poales; Poaceae. The record is from RefSeq and is a predicted model, not a curated record.